This is a long non-coding RNA of Mercenaria mercenaria, 218 nucleotides long. RefSeq lists it as uncharacterized. The record is from RefSeq and is a predicted model, not a curated record. The transcript has 3 exons. Lineage: Eukaryota; Metazoa; Mollusca; Bivalvia; Venerida; Veneridae.
UUUUUAGUAUGACGUCACUGCGCUUUCAAGAUAAUGUCGCCAUAGUAACCGGUGGCUGUCAAGGUGUUGGAAGAGGCUGUGUUGAUGUUUUGGUUGAAAAUGGUGGUAAAGUAGUUGUUUUUGAUAUAAAAGACGAACUUGGGUCAACAAUGAUAGCAAAAGGACCAGGUGAGAAAAAGUAUAUACACUGUGACGUCACAAAAGAGGACGAAGUUAAG